GCAUAUCAAUAAGCGGAGGAAAAGAAACUAACAAGGAUUCCCCUAGUAACUGCGAGUGAAGCGGGAAAAGCUCAAAUUUAAAAUCUGGUGGCCUCUGGUCGCCCGAGUUGUAAUUUAGAGAAGCGUCUUCCGCGCUGGACCAUGCACAAGUCUCCUGGAAUGGAGCSUCAUAGAGGGUGAGAAUCCCGUCUUUGGCAUGGAUGCACCAGGGCUUUCGUGAUGCGCUCUCAAAGAGUCGAGUUGUUUGGGAAUGCAGCUCAAAAUGGGUGGUGAACUCCAUCUAAAGCUAAAUAUAGGCGAGAGACCGAUAGCGAACAAGUACCGUGAGGGAAAGAUGAAAAGCACUUUGGAAAGAGAGUGAAACAGUACGUGAAAUUGUUGAAAGGGAAACGCUUGAAGUCAGUCGCGUCGACCGAGACUCAGCCUCGCCUUGGCUUGGUGUACUUCUCGGCCGACGGGUCAGCGUCAAUUUUGCCCCUCGGAUAAUGGCAAGGGAAAGGUAGCACCUUUAUAGGUGUGUUAUAGUCUCUUGUCGCAUGCGAGGGUCGGGAUUGAGGAACUCAGCACGCACCUCUCGGUGUCGGGGCUUCGGCCCACGCUACGUGCUUAGGAUGCUGGCGUAAUGGCUUUAAACGACCCGUCUUGAAACACGGACCAAGGAGUCUAACAUGCCCGCGAGUGUUCGGGUGGAAAACCCGUGCGCGUAAUGAAAGUAAAAGUUGGGACCUCUGUCGUGGGGGGCACCGACGCCCGGACCAGACCUUCUGUGACGGAUCUGCGGUAGAGCGUGCAUGUUGGGACCCGAAAGAUGGUGAACUAUGCCUGAAUAGGGUGAAGCCAGAGGAAACUCUGGUGGAGGCUCGUAGCGAUUCUGACGUGCAAAUCGAUCGUCAAAUUUGGGUAUAGGGGCGAAAGACUAAUCGAACCAUCUAGUAGCUGGUUCCUGC
This 947-nucleotide ribosomal RNA is filed under the name Russula albonigra. Its description in RNAcentral is "partial large subunit ribosomal RNA". Lineage: Eukaryota; Fungi; Basidiomycota; Agaricomycetes; Russulales; Russulaceae. The record is from RNAcentral.